GACGAACGCUGGCGGCGUGCUUAACACAUGCCAGUCGAACGGUGAAGCGCCUUCCUUUUUGGUGGGUGUGGAUGAGUGGCCAACGGGUGAGUAACACGUGAGUAACCUGCCCCCUUCUUCUGGAUAACCGCAUGAAAGUGUGGCUAAUACGGGAUAUUCUGGGUCUGUCGCAUGAUGGGUCUGUGAAAGAUAUUGUUUCGGUGGGGGAUGGGCUCGCGGCCUAUCAGCUUGUUGGUGAGGUGAUGGCCUACCAAGGCGGUGACGGGUAGCCGGCCUGAGAGGGUGGACGGUCACACUGGGACUGAGACACGGCCAAGACUCCUACGGGAGGCAGCAGUGGGGAAUAUUGCACAAUGGGCGCAAGCCUGAUGCAGCGACGCCGCGUGAGGGAUGGAGGCCUUCGGGUUGUGAACCUCUUUCGCCAGUGAAGCAGGCCUGCCUCGUUUGUGGGUGGGUUGACGGUAGCUGGAUAAGAAGCGCCGGCUAACUACGUG
Molecule: ribosomal RNA, 494 nt
Filed under: uncultured bacterium
Lineage: Bacteria
Description: partial 16S ribosomal RNA
Rfam family: Bacterial small subunit ribosomal RNA
Source: RNAcentral